Molecule: ribosomal RNA, 112 nt
Filed under: uncultured bacterium
Lineage: Bacteria
Description: partial 16S ribosomal RNA
Rfam family: Bacterial small subunit ribosomal RNA
Source: RNAcentral
UGGGGAAUCUUCCGCAAUGGGCGAAAGCCUGACGGAGCAACGCCGCGUGAGUGAUUAAGGCCUUCGGGUUGUAAAACUCUGUCAUCAGGGAAGAAAAUAAUGACGUACUGAG